UACGUAGGGGCCUAGCGUUGUCCGGAUUUAUUGGGCGUAAAGAGCUCGUAGGCGGUUUGGUGAGUCGGGUGUGAAAUCUCCACGCUCAACGUGGAGGGGCCACCCGAUACUGCCAUGACUAGAGUCCGGUAGGGGAGUGUGGAAUUCCCGGUGUAGCGGUGAAAUGCGUAGAUAUUGGGAGGAACACCAGUGGCGAAGGCGGCUCACUGGACCGGAACUGACGCUGAGGCGCGAAAGCGUGGGGAGCAAACAGG
RNAcentral lists this ribosomal RNA (254 nucleotides) under uncultured bacterium. Its description in RNAcentral is "partial 16S ribosomal RNA". It matches the Rfam family "Bacterial small subunit ribosomal RNA", at positions 524 to 776 of the family's 1533-position model. The record is from RNAcentral.